GAAGGGCUAUUGUUUCAUCUGCCCUGACAAAGAAUCCCGAAGAAUGCACGUUGUUUGUGCUUUCUAAACACUUGAGAUAUCAUUUCUUAUGGCUCAUUUGAAUGUCCAGGAAUAUCCAUUCAACACAAAUCCCUCUGCAAUCAAAUGGGAAUUCAAAGGAAAAUCUGUUCCUGUUUUAAUAUUUACAAAGUGGUUGGUUUUCGGCAGGCAUAUUUACAGUUGCCAGAGGCAUUGAUGAAAAUGGUUGGAAGCCAAAAGAUUGGUCACUCUGUGUGAUUUUCGUUUUUUUCUUUUUUGUUCCUAGUAGCGACUGAGGGAGGUGGAAUGCACAGUAAGAGCCUUAUGGAGCUUUAGAAGCAUUGAAAUGUUUGAAUUACAUUAAUGGGAGCACUAGUAAAGAGACUACAGGGACAUGUAUUGCUGGUGCUAUCUCUUGAGAGUGCUUCAACUGACCCCAGGGACAGCAGCUGUGACACUGCAGGAGAAAAGCCUUUGGAGGGGAGCAGUCAGUGUGCCCAGGGGUAGGCACUGCUGGGUCAGGAGUGAAACCAACUGGGGGGGUGGAGGGGCUGAGCCUCAGCCCAAUGGAGGUAAUCCUUCUCCAGCCACUGUGCAACUCCUUAUGGCAACUCUUCCGUGUAACUUCUUAGAGCAGCAUCAGUGAAAAUCACACAUCCACCCUAGAACUGCUCUGCUGAAAAUACGGGCCUGUAUUCAAAACAGCUGUUUGCUAUCACUUGUUGGGUCAGAUCCUGCUGAGAGCAUUGCCUGGGCUUUCCCCAGAGCCUCUCCAAGCAGUGCUGCCUCUGGCAGGAGGCAUUCAUGCCUCUGUUCAUUCUCUUUCUGCUGAGAAAAGAGGGCAGCUCUUGUUCCUCGGAACCCUUAUGGCACUGUAAAUGCCACAUCAUUAUCCAUCUACCAUCCACUGCAUUCUCUUCGGCUUUUUCACCAUUUUUGUAGCAGUAAAAGCUUUUUUGUGUUUUUUUUUUUUUUUUUUUUUAAGCCUAUUGAUGUGGUUCUAGCCUGUAACAGAGAGUCAGAGCACAUCCCUGGUAACAUGUCUGUGUUUUUACUAUGUUUCAGCUGUGACAUUCUGCAGUAAAUAGCAGUGAGGUAUGCAAGAACCAUUUUUCAAGGAAGAUAUGAGAUUGGCACUGAAUUCCUGGUAUUUGUAAGGAAAAGAAUGAGUGGAAUGGGGGAAAAAUAGUCCAUUGCUGUUUCCAUUAUUUCUCGAAAGUCUUCCAAGAUAAAGGCAGAGUAAAUCACAGUUUGAAAAUCUCUGAUAGCCCGUGUUCCAGCAGUGUGCCUGCAGGGCCUGAGCUCCCCUGCACUGGGCCUGAGGCAGAGCAGGGAUGCAGCCUUCCUUCCCUAAUGUCAUUACACACAAAUUAACACAUGAAGCUUUUCUGAGCAGAUUGGGCUUUGUUAGCAGGUAGUGAGAACACAAUGAGAACAGCUUGGAGAAAGUAACUGCAGAAGAAUGAUCCUUUGGUUUGGUUUCAGAGCAGCAGCUCUCUGAAGUGCUUCCAUUCAUGACGCUAAAGCAUGAAAAUUCAGCUUCUGCUGGUGGUGGAGCUGAUGCUGUUCUUAGUGGGUACUGCACAAAGCAGUGGCAGCUCCUGCAGGGCAGCACAGCUCAGGCCUCCAGAAGUUGUGUUUAGGAA
This is a long non-coding RNA of Phasianus colchicus (ring-necked pheasant), 1664 nucleotides long. The record is from Ensembl. Lineage: Eukaryota; Metazoa; Chordata; Aves; Galliformes; Phasianidae.